GACUCUUCUGUGGUUAAAGUUGAAACAAAUUCAUGGUUUCUAUGGGUCAGAUCAAAGUACCCUACGCAUAGGCCGGAAGAGACAUUAUCCAGAAAACUCGAUUUCAUGUCAUGUCUUAAAGAGCCUGACUCAAAAGAGAUAAGGCUAGUCUAAAAGAGCGUCGUCUCAAUGAAUAUCUGUACUGGGACUCAGGCUAACAUUAUUUCUGUAAUCUAGUCUGCAUAGAGUUCUCUGGGAUUUUGAGCCCUUGCUGGUCUUGAAAGAAAAUGCAUCCUGUGGUGGUGGACUUGAAAAAUAUUCCCUUAAGCUCCAAACGACAGCAAACACAAACACCUAUGCAAGAUUUUAUAAUCUCUCUCCUUGGACAAAACCCUAAUAUGAUCCCAAACUGUGAUCAUAACUAUCAUGAUUCACAUAAUCCUCUCCAUCUUGAUCAAAACCUACAUCGUAAUUCUCACAACUCUCAUUACUUUGAUCAACCCCAGAUCCAGAACUAGAAGUGGACCCAUCAGUUUCAAUCACAGACCUCCUUCCACACCCAGAACCCAAUGAAGCAACCCCUAAAGUAGCUGAAUUUCUUGGAACAGGUAUGCUAGACAAAAACCCUUCACUGAGAAGAAUCAGAUUGCAAAAAAGUCUCAUUCUUUUUUCUUUUCCUCUCCUCUCCUUUCCCUCCUCACCUUCAUCAUCCUCCACAUCCAAAAUCGAGUGCCUGUUAAUGGGAGGCUUAAACUGAACAACCCUUUUAGGAUUAGCAUUUAAAGGUGUGAAACAUGAUAUGGGUUGCUGUGAAGUUUCAGUUUUUGGCUGUGGAAAUGAAGAGAAAAGCUUAAGAUGGAAGAUUUGAAGGGAUGGCUCAAACAUCAGAUCAGGGUAGGAUUGAAAUCUGGUUGUCAUGAGAUAGUAGCUUAGACACGGCAACGGUGCUUAGCAUGGAGCCCCAUUUCCUCCUCCUUUCGAAUGAAGGCCAGGAUAGGUUUGGAGUGCUUAGGACCAGGAAAGGUUUGGAUUCGAGAUAUUAGGUCAAGGUUAGGGGAUCGGGCUCUAAGCAUCCAAGGAUAGGGCUCGGUUUGAGGCGCCCGAGGAACGAACUAUGAUUACGUCUCGAGGGAAAGAUGGGGACGGGUUUGAGUCUAGGCUUUUGAGUAUGAGAUUAGGUUUAGGUCAAGGUUGAGUUUAGAUCAGAUCUAGGGUGCUCAAAGUCGGGGUUGGUUUUAAGUCCUCGACAAUCACAAUCAAAAGAUAGAGCCUAAGGUAAUUGAAGAUCUAGCUGGGUCAGGUUUGAGGUGUCUUAAUUGGAUGUAAUUUUAUUCUAAGAUGCUUGAUGGAAAGAGUGAGAUCAUGCUAAGUCCUGAGCACGUAAGGGGUUAAGAUCGAGAUUAAGAUUAAGAUCGAGAUUAAGAUUAAGAUUCAAUAUUGGAUCAGUUCUUCAUGCUUGCCUCUAGAUUUUCUCCAGCCACCAGACGACAGAUGUUAACAGAGCUUGCAGAUUGGUGGCUUGGCUUUGAUAAUUACGUACUGACUCCAAGAAUAAAAAUAAUUGAGUGUGUUGUGUUUGAUACUGAGUAAAUCUUCAUGGAGAUUUUCAUGCCUCGGGACUCUGUUACGCAGGGACAAGAUUCUUGGUUGCCUACUUGUGGAAGGCUUUGGCAGGGGAUAGAUCUCUACUUCUUGCUAAUUUCUGCUGUAGGGUUAUGUCUGUGCCUUGGCAUGACUAUUUUGUUCAUGUUUUUCCAGCUUUCCCCGACCCUUUCGGGUUGUUAAUUUUGCCUUCUUCAGGCUUUAAUGUAUUUGCCUAUAAAAAAAAGAGAGAAUUAAGAGCUCUUCGGGUCUUAGAAGUCAAGCGUAGGAGGUUAAGAUUGGUAAGCUUGAAGUUGAGAUCGGGACUGAGAAAAGGAAUUGAUACAAGUUCUUUUAA
Long non-coding RNA from Populus nigra (black poplar), 1918 nucleotides. RefSeq lists it as uncharacterized. The record is from RefSeq and is a predicted model, not a curated record. The transcript is spliced from 2 exons. Lineage: Eukaryota; Viridiplantae; Streptophyta; Magnoliopsida; Malpighiales; Salicaceae.